UAAAGCAAGGCUAGAACCUGGUCAGGCUAACUUAAGCAAGUCACCAAGAGAUUCAACGGUCGUGGAUUCAAACGUAACUCCAAUUACAGGGCAGGAAUCUAGAGUUACACUCAUACCUGAUAAUGUGGUAGCAGUACCCGGCGGAAAUGUAGGAUGUAGUACAGUAAACGGCAGCACCGGAACUGCGACAGCGUCAACGGCAAUUAGGGAACCGACGACUACAUGUGAUAUUUCAAUGACGUCAUCUCCGGGUGGCUCAGGAAAUAGUGUAAGCGCCAGUGCCGAA
RNAcentral lists this unclassified non-coding RNA (286 nucleotides) under Hevea brasiliensis (rubber tree). Lineage: Eukaryota; Viridiplantae; Streptophyta; Magnoliopsida; Malpighiales; Euphorbiaceae. The record is from RNAcentral.